AAUAUCUCGUAGAAAUUCCAUUCAUAGCUGAUACAAAAUUGAUCAAGAUUUGUAGAGUCCAAUAAGACAAACAGCUAUGAUCCACUACUUUAUCCUCUCAGUCUUCUUAAUUUUAUCAACGACAGAACUCGGCAAUUCCAUCAGAUUUAGCGAUGUCCCCAAUUAUAAAAGGUCAGCCAUUGGAGACCUCGUAAGGAUGAACGCCCUAGCUUUGUUGGACGAGAAAAUUGCUCAUGGACUCAAUGUUACUGACUAUGGAAGAUAGCUGCAACAAGCUUGUGUGAGAGUUUACGACGUUUAGAAGAGAGUUACUCCGAAGAAUUUUUAUAUUAACAUGAUGAAAUAAAAAUUGUUGAUCCCAA
This is a long non-coding RNA of Saccostrea cuccullata (small rock oyster), 362 nucleotides long. RefSeq lists it as uncharacterized. Lineage: Eukaryota; Metazoa; Mollusca; Bivalvia; Ostreida; Ostreidae. The transcript has 5 exons. The record is from RefSeq and is a predicted model, not a curated record.